Molecule: transfer RNA, 68 nt
Filed under: Tanystylum orbiculare
Lineage: Eukaryota; Metazoa; Arthropoda; Pycnogonida; Pantopoda; Tanystylidae
Description: tRNA-Lys
Rfam family: tRNA
About the family: Transfer RNA (tRNA) molecules are approximately 80 nucleotides in length.
Source: RNAcentral
CAUUGAAUAACCAAAGGUUAAGGUGUUAGAUUUUUAAUCUAAAAGUAAUAUUAUAAUAUUUUCAAUGA